CCUACGGGGGGCAGCAGUCGAGAAUCAUUCACAAUGGGGGAAACCCUGAUGGUGCGACGCCGCGUGGGGGAAUGAAGGUCUUCGGAUUGUAAACCCCUGUCAUGUGGGCGCAAAUUAAAAAGAUAGUACCACAAGAGGAAGAGACGGCUAACUCUGUGCCAGCAGCCGCGGUAAUACAGAGGGCUCAAGCGUUGUUCGGAAUCACUGGGCGUAAAGGGUGCGUAGGCUGUGUCGUAAGUCGUGUGUGAAAGCGGCGGGCUCAACCCGCGGACGGCACAUGAUACUGCGAGACUAGAGUAAUGGAGGGGGAAACGGAAUUCUCGGUGUAGCGGUGAAAUGCGUAGAUAUCGGGAGGAACACUCGUGGCGAAGGCGGGUUCCUGGACAUUAACUGACGCUGAGGCACGAAGGCCAGGGGAGCGAAAGGGAUUAGAUACCCGUGUAGUC
This 446-nucleotide ribosomal RNA is filed under the name uncultured bacterium. Its description in RNAcentral is "partial 16S ribosomal RNA". It matches the Rfam family "Bacterial small subunit ribosomal RNA", at positions 338 to 795 of the family's 1533-position model. The record is from RNAcentral.